Molecule: ribosomal RNA, 433 nt
Filed under: uncultured bacterium
Lineage: Bacteria
Description: partial 16S ribosomal RNA
Rfam family: Bacterial small subunit ribosomal RNA
Source: RNAcentral
AACGAACGCUGGCGGCAUGCCUAACACAUGCAAGUCGAACGAGACCUUCGGGUCUAGUGGCGCACGGGUGCGUAACACGUGGGAAUCUGCCCUUUGCUUCGGAAUAACAGUUAGAAAUGACUGCUAAUACCGGAUGAUGUCGAAAGACCAAAGAUUUAUCGGCAAAGGAUGAGCCCGCGUAGGAUUAGGUAGUUGGUGGGGUAAAGGCCUACCAAGCCGACGAUCCUUAGCUGGUCUGAGAGGAUGAUCAGCCAUACUGGGACUGAGACACGGCCCAGACUCCUACGGGAGGCAGCAGUGGGGAAUAUUGGACAAUGGGCGAAAGCCUGAUCCAGCAAUGCCGCGUGAGUGAUGAAGGCCUUAGGGUUGUAAAGCUCUUUUACCAGGGAUGAUAAUGACAGUACCUGGAGAAUAAGCGCCGGCUAACUCCGUG